Molecule: ribosomal RNA, 403 nt
Filed under: uncultured bacterium
Lineage: Bacteria
Description: partial 16S ribosomal RNA
Rfam family: Bacterial small subunit ribosomal RNA
Source: RNAcentral
AUUGAACGCUGGCGGCAGGCCUAACACAUGCAAGUCGAACGAGCGGCGGACGGGUGAGUAAUGUAUGGGGACCGCCCGAUAGCUGGGGGUAACUACUGGAAACGGUGUCUAAUACCGCAUACUGUCGGAUAACCCAUAUGUGAUUAGCUAGUAGGUAAGGUAAUGGCUUACCUAGGCGACGAUCCCUAGCUGGUCUGAGAGGAUGAUCAGUCACACUGCGACGAGGACACGGCCUCAACUCCUAAGGAGGCAGCAGUGGGGAAUAUUCCACAAGGGGCGCAAGCCUAAUGUAGCCAUGCCGCGUGUAUGAAGAAGGCCCUCGGGUUGUAAAGUACUUUCAGUCGGGAGGCGUUACCGACAGAAGAAGCACCGGCUAACUCCGUGCCAGCAGCCGCGGUAAUUC